Molecule: ribosomal RNA, 253 nt
Filed under: uncultured bacterium
Lineage: Bacteria
Description: partial 16S ribosomal RNA
Rfam family: Bacterial small subunit ribosomal RNA
Source: RNAcentral
UACGAAGGGGGCUAGCGUUGCUCGGAAUCACUGGGCGUAAAGGGUGCGUAGGCGGGUCUUUAAGUCCGGGGUGAAAUCCUGGAGCUCAACUCCAGAACUGCCUUUGAUACUGAGGAUCUUGAGUUCGGGAGAGGUGAGUGGAACUGCGAGUGUAGAGGUGAAAUUCGUAGAUAUUCGCAAGAACACCAGUGGCGAAGGCGGCUCACUGGCCCGAUACUAACGCUGAGGCACGAAAGCGUGGGGAGCAAACAGG